GGAAUAUUGGACAAUGGGCGCAAGCCUGAUCCAGCCAUGCCGCGUGGGGGAUGAAGGCUCUUGGGUCGUAAACCCCUUUUGCCGGGGAAGAUCGUGACGGUACCCGGCGAAUCAGCCACGGCUAACUACGUGCCAGCAGCCGCGGUAAUACGUAGGUGGCAAGCGUUGUCCGGAUUUAUUGGGCGUAAAGAGCGCGCAGGCGGUUCGCAUAGUCCGAGGUGAAAUCUCCCGGCUCAACUGGGAGGGGUCUUCGGAUACUGGCGGGCUUGAGGAGAGCAGAGGUGAGCGGAAUUCUCGGUGUAGUGGUGAAAUGCGUAGAUAUCGAGAGGAACACCAGCGGCGAAGGCGGCUCACUGGGCUCCACCUGACGCUGAGGCGCGAAAGCGUGGGGAGCGAA
RNAcentral lists this ribosomal RNA (397 nucleotides) under uncultured bacterium. RNAcentral describes it as "bacterial SSU rRNA". It matches the Rfam family "Bacterial small subunit ribosomal RNA", at positions 358 to 772 of the family's 1533-position model. The record is from RNAcentral.